RNAcentral lists this ribosomal RNA (253 nucleotides) under uncultured bacterium. RNAcentral describes it as "partial 16S ribosomal RNA". It matches the Rfam family "Bacterial small subunit ribosomal RNA", at positions 524 to 776 of the family's 1533-position model. The record is from RNAcentral.
UACGUACGAGGCGAGCGUUAUCCGGAAUUACUGGGCGUAAAGCGCGCGCAGGCGGAUGCCUAAGUCGGACGUGAAAUCUCCCGGCCUAACUGGGAGGGGUCGUUCGAGACUGGGUGUCUUGAGGACGGCAGAGGUCGGUGGAAUUCCUGGUGUAGUGGUGAAAUGCGUAGAGAUCAGGAGGAACACCGGUGGCGAAGGCGGCCGACUGGGCCGUCACUGACGCUGAGGCGCGAAAGCUCGGGGAGCGAACGGG